Long non-coding RNA from Sarcophilus harrisii (Tasmanian devil), 548 nucleotides. RefSeq lists it as uncharacterized. The transcript is spliced from 4 exons. The record is from RefSeq and is a predicted model, not a curated record. NCBI's taxonomy places the organism in Eukaryota, Metazoa, Chordata, Mammalia, Dasyuromorphia, Dasyuridae.
UAGGGGAGCAGAGAGAUCCCCGAAAUAUGGACAUUAUCGAUCUUCUUGAGGAAUUCAUUGCCUUUUAAAAGAGACAAGCCAGAAAGCAGCUUAAAAGUAAGCAAGCAACUACAGAGCAAGAGUGGAUGCUGGGAAUUUAGAGUUUAUCCAGAGGGGCUUCCUGAAAGAGGUAAAGAAGCCCGGGAGCCUGAACUCUGGGUCGUCAUCGUCAAUACCGUCGUGAUACCUAAGCCCACCCGGGCAGGGGCGGCGUCCAUGUUGAUCCAGAAAGAGACCCAGGACAGGAUGACGAUGAGCAGACUAGGGAUGUACAUUUGGAUCAAAUAGUAGCCCAUCUGGCGCUCCAAGUGGAACUUCACCUCUAUGCAGGUGAGAAAAGUCUAGACCCCGCCUCCACCCCUUCACACCCGACUGCUGGAGUGAGGGCCAAGGUGGCCGAAGCAGAUGGCCAGAGCCGUGUUCUGCAAACCAAGGGAAGAAGGUGGAGGACCAUGAGGAAUGGUGAGGAUCUGAGCUGGACCCGAGGUUUCAGUGGUGUGGGGAACUUU